This 97-nucleotide signal recognition particle RNA is filed under the name Hyphomicrobiales bacterium. RNAcentral's name for it is "Rhizobiales bacterium (beach sand metagenome) signal recognition particle sRNA small type". It matches the Rfam family "Bacterial small signal recognition particle RNA". Rfam says of the family: The signal recognition particle (SRP) is a universally conserved ribonucleoprotein involved in the co-translational targeting of proteins to membranes. Archaeal SRP consists of a 7S RNA and homologues of the eukaryotic SRP19 and SRP54 proteins. Lineage: Bacteria; Pseudomonadati; Pseudomonadota; Alphaproteobacteria; Hyphomicrobiales. The record is from RNAcentral.
GGAGGUUGGCGGCGGACGGGUCCCUCGCCAACCGGGUCAGGUCCGGAAGGAAGCAGCCCUAACGAGAUUGACGCGGGUUGCCGUUCCAGCCUCCCAC